Molecule: non-coding RNA, 70 nt
Organism: Dipodomys ordii (Ord's kangaroo rat)
Lineage: Eukaryota; Metazoa; Chordata; Mammalia; Rodentia; Heteromyidae
Source: Rfam
GGGAAGGUAGCUCAAUGGUAGAGCACUUGCCUUGCAUGCAUGAGGCCCUGGGUUCGAUUCCUCAGCACCA